Molecule: ribosomal RNA, 1353 nt
Filed under: Enterococcus durans
Lineage: Bacteria; Bacillati; Bacillota; Bacilli; Lactobacillales; Enterococcaceae
Description: bacterial SSU rRNA
Rfam family: Bacterial small subunit ribosomal RNA
Source: RNAcentral
CUUGCUCCACCGGAAAAAGAAGAGUGGCGAACGGGUGAGUAACACGUGGGUAACCUGCCCAUCAGAAGGGGAUAACACUUGGAAACAGGUGCUAAUACCGUAUAACAAUCGAAACCGCAUGGUUUUGAUUUGAAAGGCGCUUUCGGGUGUCGCUGAUGGAUGGACCCGCGGUGCAUUAGCUAGUUGGUGAGGUAACGGCUCACCAAGGCCACGAUGCAUAGCCGACCUGAGAGGGUGAUCGGCCACAUUGGGACUGAGACACGGCCCAAACUCCUACGGGAGGCAGCAGUAGGGAAUCUUCGGCAAUGGACGAAAGUCUGACCGAGCAACGCCGCGUGAGUGAAGAAGGUUUUCGGAUCGUAAAACUCUGUUGUUAGAGAAGAACAAGGAUGAGAGUAACUGUUCAUCCCUUGACGGUAUCUAACCAGAAAGCCACGGCUAACUACGUGCCAGCAGCCGCGGUAAUACGUAGGUGGCAAGCGUUGUCCGGAUUUAUUGGGCGUAAAGCGAGCGCAGGCGGUUUCUUAAGUCUGAUGUGAAAGCCCCCGGCUCAACCGGGGAGGGUCAUUGGAAACUGGGAGACUUGAGUGCAGAAGAGGAGAGUGGAAUUCCAUGUGUAGCGGUGAAAUGCGUAGAUAUAUGGAGGAACACCAGUGGCGAAGGCGGCUCUCUGGUCUGUAACUGACGCUGAGGCUCGAAAGCGUGGGGAGCAAACAGGAUUAGAUACCCUGGUAGUCCACGCCGUAAACGAUGAGUGCUAAGUGUUGGAGGGUUUCCGCCCUUCAGUGCUGCAGCUAACGCAUUAAGCACUCCGCCUGGGGAGUACGACCGCAAGGUUGAAACUCAAAGGAAUUGACGGGGGCCCGCACAAGCGGUGGAGCAUGUGGUUUAAUUCGAAGCAACGCGAAGAACCUUACCAGGUCUUGACAUCCUUUGACCACUCUAGAGAUAGAGCUUCCCCUUCGGGGGCAAAGUGACAGGUGGUGCAUGGUUGUCGUCAGCUCGUGUCGUGAGAUGUUGGGUUAAGUCCCGCAACGAGCGCAACCCUUAUUGUUAGUUGCCAUCAUUCAGUUGGGCACUCUAGCAAGACUGCCGGUGACAAACCGGAGGAAGGUGGGGAUGACGUCAAAUCAUCAUGCCCCUUAUGACCUGGGCUACACACGUGCUACAAUGGGAAGUACAACGAGUCGCGAAGUCGCGAGGCUAAGCUAAUCUCUUAAAGCUUCUCUCAGUUCGGAUUGUAGGCUGCAACUCGCCUACAUGAAGCCGGAAUCGCUAGUAAUCGCGGAUCAGCACGCCGCGGUGAAUACGUUCCCGGGCCUUGUACACACCGCCCGUCACACCACGAGAGUU